CACGAGGAAACUUACCAGGUCCAAACAUAGUAAGGAUUGACAGACUGAGAGCUCUUUCUUGAUUCUAUGGGUGGUGGUGCAUGGCCGUUCUUAGUUGGUGGAGCGAUUUUUCUGGUUAAUUCCGUUAAAGAACGAGACCUCAGCCUGCUAACUAGCUACGUGGAGGCAUCCCUUCACGGCCAGCUUCUUAGAGGGACUAUGGCCGUUUAGGCCAAAGAAGUUUGAGGCAAUAUCAGGUAUGUGAUGCCCUUAGAUGUUUUGGGCCGCACGCGCGCUACACUGAUAUAUUCAACGAGUUCACAUCUUGGCCGACAGGCCCGGGUAAUCUUUGAAAUUUCAUCGUGAUAGGGAUAGAUCAUUGUAAUUGUUGGUCUUCAACGAGGAAUUCCUAGUAAGCGCGAGUCAUCAGCUCGCGUUGACUACAUCCUUGCCCUUUGUACACACCGCCCAUCGCUCCUAUCGAUUGAAUGAUCCGGUGAAGUGUUCGGAUCGCGGCGACGUGGGUGGUUCGCCGCCUGCGACGUCACGAGAAGUCCACUAAACCUUAUAAUUUAGAGGAAGGAAAAUUCGUAACAAGGUUUACGUAGGUGAACCUGUGGAAGGAUCAUUG
This 610-nucleotide non-coding RNA is filed under the name Brassica napus (rape). Its description in RNAcentral is "Eukaryotic small subunit ribosomal RNA". It matches the Rfam family "Eukaryotic small subunit ribosomal RNA", at positions 1204 to 1831 of the family's 1831-position model. The record is from Rfam by way of RNAcentral. Lineage: Eukaryota; Viridiplantae; Streptophyta; Magnoliopsida; Brassicales; Brassicaceae.